CAGGAGUCAGGCGGGGGUGGGUGAGUCCUGGAGUUUUAUCCAAUCAUUGACACUGAUGUGGGAACCGCCCUAUCAGGCGCGCGGUGGCAGAGGAGAGGAAAGGAGGGCGUGGCUUCCUGCAUUUGGCGGCGUCUUUGUCUCUCGCUGGCGCUGGCACAGGACCUUGGGAUCUGUCUCUUUCGCCUCCUGCACCUUGGGAGCCCCGGGCUACUCUCUCACAGCCCUUGUUGCCCUGCGAUCUGUAGGUCCUUGGGGACGCAUAGUUAAGGUGCCAGGACAUCCUGGAAGCUGGGAAAUGGGCGGGGAGACCUUCCUUCACCACGGGUUUGAGGCUAUGGCUAAGUGGUGAGCCUUGGGGAGAUGCAGAAAGGAUCCAUCCCAGGCACUUGGCUAGAGAAAUGUCGUCUUUUGUCUGCAACAACUGGCUGGAGAAAUAUUUCAGAAAGAUGUGUGCCUGGAACACCCAAAGGCGUACCUUUCCUUUCUCCUUGGCAUAGGCCUUGCAGCACUGAAGAAAGACCAGGUUUGCAACGGAGCCUUCAAUACUCUUCAUCCCUAUGGAUCUCAGGGGCUUAUAGGGUGACAGGAGAGGAGACAAGCUAGCUUGGGAAGAGUCUUUGUCCUUCAGCUUCUCCCCUACUGAAACACUAUAUACUUGGGGCCACAGUUCAUAGCAAAACACACAUGCUCUCUUUCUUUCUCUCACACCCACAUCUCGGGAACCCAACAACUUGAUGGCAGGUAGCUCUGGGUAUCCUUGGUCUGGCAUUCACCCACUGGGCAUCUAAGCUGUCCUAAAGCUCUUUUCAAUCACUUCUCACUCUUUCCAGGCCCAUGUGGGUAGGUGUUCCAGGCUUCACUCUUUCAGGCUGAUCAUAAAGGACA
Molecule: long non-coding RNA, 885 nt
Filed under: Pan troglodytes (chimpanzee)
Lineage: Eukaryota; Metazoa; Chordata; Mammalia; Primates; Hominidae
Description: lncRNA (ENSPTRG00000053454.1)
Source: RNAcentral